UCAGAAAGUCUAUAAAAGCCAGCCUGCUGUUUGAGAGGAGUCAUGAACCUGUCAUUCGUUGACUAAAGUUAGCAGUCAGACUCGUCGAUAUUCCUGCAGCAUGAGAAAUCCAGCAAGGUUGCAGAAUGCUAACCAGGAAUUCCAAACACAAAGACCCCUUCCUAAUCCCUCGACACAUAAGGCUGCCAAUUUAGUAUCAAGAGAAGACAGGAAGAACUUUUAAGGAAGAAGUAACACUGGAGUCAACAACAACAACAACAGCAAAACAACCUCUGGCAAUUUCUUAUCCUGUGUCUGACUGACCUCUUUUAUAUCCAAGGAAAGUAUUGUCAAACCACCAAUCCCCCAGAACUACACUGUCUUGGAGAUGCUAAAUUGCAAAGAGAAAACAUCUCAGCAUUAAGGAGGAAGAGAGCUCUGGCUGUGGAAUGAUUAGAGGGUGCAGCAUCCUUUGGCAAAAUGCUGCAAUAUCUCCUUAGGCUUAUAUGCUAUCGUCCUGAUUCUAAGAUUUUCCAUCUCAGGUAUUCAGACCUCUAAACUCUGUCUCCUUCUCCCCAACCCUAUUUACAAGUUGACAUGUACCAAAAAGAGUAAAUGAAUGACAACAGUUUACAUUGCUA
This is a long non-coding RNA of Chlorocebus sabaeus (green monkey), 620 nucleotides long. RefSeq lists it as uncharacterized. The record is from RefSeq and is a predicted model, not a curated record. Lineage: Eukaryota; Metazoa; Chordata; Mammalia; Primates; Cercopithecidae.